CAUUAUAAAACAUAAAUCAAAACCAUGGAAGGAAAAUUAUCAUCCAUUAAUCAAUGAAAAUAGCACAAUCAUUUUUGCUUAAUGAAAGAAAUUUGUAAAUUAAGUUUAUAGUAUGUAUGUAAUUUGUAAAGCUUGCGUGGAGAAUCUCUUAUCAAUAUCAAUAAUUAACAUCUUUGGAUGGUCUUCAAGCAUCUCUUCUUAAUUUAUCAAAUUCUCCUGACAGAUUGGUACUCGUAUUGGCUUAAGUUACUACACUUUUAAAUAGUCAUCGUCCUGCAUGUAUUUUGAUGUACCAGACGUCAAGAAAAAAAAAAAAGAAGUUGAUUACUAAUAUUCUUCUUUUUGUAACUUCAAUACUAUUAUACUAGCAUCUUGAAUCUGGAAAGCAUGAAGAACUCAACAUAUUGCUCCAUUUUAUUGGUCUUAUGCUUUCUUCUGGCAUCAGAGACAUGUAUAAGAGUUAGCAUGGGCAUAUCAUGUGGAUACAUAGGCAAAUGCACACAAGAUGCAUGCAACAAUGUAUGCGCAGGAAGUGGAUCGGGCACUCCCAAAUGCGUCUCAGACACUAAUUGCUGCUGCCUUGCUGUUACUGAUCAGCACCACCGUCGCAUUACAUCGUCUCCAAGUUCCUAAUUAAUACUUCAUUUCUUAAUACACUCUUUCCUUUUUUUCUUGUAAUCUACUCCCUACAUUAAUAAACCAAUAAUUAGCUGUAUAUUACUAAACUUUCGUCAUACGAUAUAUACAAGUUUCUUCUAAAAGCAAAAAAUUCAUUACUUGCUAUGUCAA
Long non-coding RNA from Beta vulgaris subsp. vulgaris (sugar beet), 789 nucleotides. RefSeq lists it as uncharacterized. NCBI's taxonomy places the organism in Eukaryota, Viridiplantae, Streptophyta, Magnoliopsida, Caryophyllales, Amaranthaceae. The record is from RefSeq and is a predicted model, not a curated record. The transcript is spliced from 2 exons.